RNAcentral lists this ribosomal RNA (468 nucleotides) under uncultured bacterium. RNAcentral describes it as "partial 16S ribosomal RNA". It matches the Rfam family "Bacterial small subunit ribosomal RNA", at positions 28 to 507 of the family's 1533-position model. The record is from RNAcentral.
GACGAACGCUGGCGGCGUGCUUAACACAUGCCAGUCGAACGGAAAGGCCCUGCUUUUGUGGGGUGCUCGAGUGGCGAACGGGUGAGUAACACGUGAGUAACCUGCCCUUGACUUUGGGAUAACUUCAGGACACUGGGGCUAAUACCGGAUAGGAGCUCCUGCUGCAUGGUGGGGGUUGGAAAGUUUCGGCGGUUGGGGCUGGACUCGCGGCUUAUCAGCUUGUUGGUGGGGUAGUGGCUUACCAAGGCUUUGACGGGUAGCCGGCCUGAGAGGGUGACCGGCCACAUUGGGACUGAGAUACGGCCCAGACUCCUACGGGAGGCAGCAGUGGGGAAUAUGGCACAAUGGGCGGAAGCCUGAUGCAGCACCGCCGCGUGCGGGAUGACGGCCUUCGUGGUGUAGACCUCUUUCGCCUGUGACGAAGCGUGCGUGACGGUAAUGGGUAAAGAAGCACCGGCUAACUACGUG